GACGAACGCUGGCGGCGUGCUUAACACAUGCAAGUCGAACGGAAAGGCCCUGGCUUUGUGCGGUGCUCGAGUGGCGAACGGGUGAGUAACACGUGAGUAACCUGCCCCUGACUUUGGGAUAACUUCAGGAAACUGGGGCUAAUACCGGAUAGGCGCUCCUGCUGCAUGGUUGGGGUUGGAAAGUUUCGGCGGUUGGGGAUGGACUCGCGGCCUAUCAGCUUGUUGGUGGGGUAGCGGCUUACCAAGGCUUUGACGGGUAGCCGGCCUGAGAGGGUGACCGGCCACAUUGGGACUGAGAUACGGCCCAGACUCCUACGGGAGGCAGCAGUGGGGAAUAUUGCACAAUGGGCGGAAGCCUGAUGCAGCAACGCCGCGUGCGGGAUGACGGCCUUCGGGUUGUAAACCGCUUUUGGCAGUGACGAAGCGAGAGUGACGGUAAUGGGUAAAGAAGCACCGGCUAACUACGUG
Molecule: ribosomal RNA, 468 nt
Filed under: uncultured bacterium
Lineage: Bacteria
Description: partial 16S ribosomal RNA
Rfam family: Bacterial small subunit ribosomal RNA
Source: RNAcentral